UUGUCAUAUUUAUAUAUUUAUUUAUAUUUAAGUUGAAUUUAAAUCAUAAAUGUGUAGGUCUACUACAUCAUCAUCAACAGUAACAAUAAUAUUAAUAAGCUCAGUAGGAUGCCUUUAGAAAAAGAUUUUGAGGUAUUUUAUUUUCCUUAUUGAAUGUUGCAAGAAUUGAAUUGCAAAAAAUAUUUAUAUAUUUUUACAAUAUUUGGGAGAACUUCAAAGAACAUAUCACAGAACCAUAUUCUCAACUACUUAUCCUUCUGUAGAUAGAAAUCCAACAUUUCUAUUGCUUGAACUGAAAUUAAUUAACUAGCAAAUUGCAUAUUGUAUAUAUAAAUUGUACUACCUUUCUGGAAAAUCCAUCAACUCCACCUAAUAUUAUCAGGUUGUACCUAUGAAGAAAAGGUAAUACAAUGCAAGGGGACCUCGAACUGAGUAUGAUGUUUGCACAAUGCAGCCAAGUUGUGCAAGUUGGGACAGGACUCCAGUGGCAUCCACACGAUGCAUUGAUGGCUUAAUCCUCUCCCACUGCACAUAGCUACCCAUUGCCAUGAGCUGUCCUUUAACAUUUCUGUACCCUGCAUUGGCAUCUGGGUUUUUAUAGCUCUCACCAUGUUAUCAGUCAUGGUGCUGUGAGCUAUGCAGGAUACAGAAUUGUGCUUCUAAUAAGUAAUGCAACUGAUCUCUCUGUGUAAUGAGCCUGGGUCCUCCUCUUAAACCCUCAGCUGUCUCUAAAUGUGACUAGGAUUGGGCAUCGAGAACCGGUUCCAACUUGGAACUGUUUUAAAAAUGGCGAUUCCAAUGGAAUCGUUCGGAAAUUUGGGUUUCGAAUCCAAUCAUCGGUUCCAAAACGUGAGUUUGGAGCACAGGAAGCGGCGCUCAAAAGUGUGGCUUUAUUCAUCGGGUCGGCACAGUGCAACAACUGCGAGACACUUAUUUCGUGUACAAAUCAACAAGGAGUGUACCGUGUUUGACGUGCUGUGCCGGUCUCCCUUUCCUACCUCAGACAACACGGAACUAACUGGUACCUCAUCGACAUCAGGUAAGUGAAAUUGUAGUGAAACAAGCUGCUUGAUCAAAUUGCUGAAAUUGUGGAGAACAACGUUACUGAAAUGUAUUUUUUUCUCGUAGAUAAAUGUAUGCAGAUUACUAACAUUAGCAGACCUACUGCUGUUAAUAUUAGACCGGAGGCUCCGCGUCAAACUCCAUUCAACUUAGCAGCAAAGCAGCUCUGUUGCCCUCGCUUGUGACUCUUGGACUAGCAUUGCUCAAGACCACUAUCUAACUGUCACAACACACUAUUUAGUGGAGGGCAAAAUGAAGUAAAAAGUGCUCCAAACAAAAGCUCUCUUGAUAAUGCAGGAGGAAAUACAGAGAUAGCUAUAAAACGGCUACAGUAUGUGAAGCUGGGCUGCUUUGCACACACACUCAAUCUAGCAGCACAAAGUCUCUACCUGACUGCAGUGACACAGUGGACUGCAAAGAUCCGUGCCUUUGUUGUGUGGACGAAGAGGUCCUCGAUGGCAAAGAUUGUUCUACGAGAGAAGCAAGAUCUCCUCAACUUGCCUGGCUGAGUGAUGAAGACUUCAGGAAUGCAGAGGACUUUAUCAACUUGAUAAUAGUUCUUUACACUUCCACACUUUGCGUAUCAACUGAAAAGAGCACCACAUGUGGUCAGAUUCUGCCAAUUCUCCAAAAGCUUGAGAGGCAUUUUGCUGUUGUUGAGGGAGACACAGGAUUUGUAUCUAACCUCAAAAAGCAAGUCUGGACAAAGCUUUCCAAGCGAUACCAGCGAGCACAUCAGGAUCUUUCUUGAAGUGGCAACAGCAUUGGACCCACGCUCUAAACAAAAGAUGGAGAACAGUGCCAGUGUCUGGGACCGGAUCAAGAGAGAAAUGAUGACAGAAUCUGAGCAGUUUGUAUACCAACCACCUCCCAGCAAACAACCAAGAAAGUCUCCAUUGGAAGAGCUUUUUGCCGACGAGGAUGCACAAAAGAUGUCAUUAUAGCAGAGGAGGACCAUGUCCAUCCAGGACCAGGCAGAGAAGGAGAUGCAGAUGUAUAAGGAGACACCCCCAACCUUUACGGCCAAUGACCCUACUGCCUGGUGGUGAAACCAGCGCAAGACUUAUCCUUUAUUGUCAGCAUCUCAAAAACUGUAAAUCACCUUUGAAUCAAAAUAAAAAAUUUCUCUGUGAAAUAA
Micropterus salmoides (largemouth bass) is the source of this 2200-nucleotide long non-coding RNA. RefSeq lists it as uncharacterized. The record is from RefSeq and is a predicted model, not a curated record. The transcript is spliced from 4 exons. Lineage: Eukaryota; Metazoa; Chordata; Actinopteri; Centrarchiformes; Centrarchidae.